This 1253-nucleotide long non-coding RNA is filed under the name Scophthalmus maximus (turbot). Its description in RNAcentral is "lncRNA (ENSSMAG00000035709.1)". Lineage: Eukaryota; Metazoa; Chordata; Actinopteri; Pleuronectiformes; Scophthalmidae. The record is from RNAcentral.
UAUAAAGAGGGGUUGUUUGUCAAACAAAAACAACAACAACAAUAGUUUUAAAAGAUGCUAUGAAUAUGACAACAAAAAGCAGUUAUCGUGACAGGCCUAUAGCACAUUUUCUCCUGUGUGUGCACCAUGACUUGACCAAACUGAUCCAAGUGUGAAACCCUGAACUGAUUAAUAACCACAGGAUCAAUAAAUUAAACAAAAAAAUUAAGUCUAUAUGUGAAACCUGGUUAAAAUUGCCUACACUGUUAUAAAAUUAGGUUACGAUAAAGGCAUAUGACUUUGUAAAAAAAACCAAAAAAAACUAUAAUAAUAAUAAUAAUAAUAAUUUGUAUUUAUAUAGCAGCUUCCCAUCACAAAAAACAUACAAAUCACAGAAAAUUAAAAUCAGCAUUGCAACAAUAAUACAGUUUUCAGGUGACAUAUCUGUCAUCACACAUAAAUAAAGUCUAUAGAAAUGGGUCUUUGAAAGUUAAUGUUUCCUACAUGGGAAAGUAGGGACACCAUAAAUAUGGUUAAAAGUUAUUUCAUGGAGAGUGAAAAGGCUACAAUGUAAUAAAUAAGUUUCAAACGAUACAAAUAUAUUUAAUUAUGAAUAUCCUGUUUUAUUGUGAAAGAUACGUUGCAGUGAACGGAAGUAGAGUGUAUUUUUAUUGUGAAUAAUACGUUCCAGUGACCGGAAGUAGAGUGGAGUAACGACCGGGGACGCUUGAUUUGACUAAAAGUCACAGCGGGAAUAAUCCGUGAAAAAGUUUGCGCAAACAAAUAUGUAGCCGAUGUCUUAAGAAAAAGAUCAUCUACUCGACAGUCUCAAUCAGAAUAUUGCCCCUGAAUAUUAUUCAUGACCAACUGGAGGAGCUCGCCAUCCCCCUGGACCUCGGGUCACCGCCACCUUGAUCUCCCGGGGUGGACCGAGAGGGACCGGUGACGUCAUCAGCUGCCAAGGCCACGUCAUCUCUGGACACGUGCCUGACUCACAGCUGAACUCAGAUAAUUCCCAGUUUGCCCCGGUUGGGUUCACUGCCUCUCUCUCUCUCUGCGCCAGAUAAACGGCCGGCCGAACUCCAAUACAAGAGCCAGGAGGAGUUCAUAAACCAGAACUCAUCUAAGUCAACUGGAGUGCAACUAGAAAAGAUAAUACAGAAGAAGAGUUCAGGACACAACAAGGGCAAGAUUUCUCCCGGCGCUGCCGAGGGUCACUCGGACUGUGACAGACGGUCAAUGUGUUCAUGAGAGUGAGAGAGAGCGGGAAAAGA